GUCCCAAAAUCCCCCAAAAUGUCCCCAAAAUGUCCCCAAAAUGGCCCCAAAUGGCCCCAAAAUGUCCCCAAAUGGCCCCAAAUGGCCCCAAAUGGCCCCAAAUGUCCCAAAAUGUCCCCAAACGGCCCCAAAAUGUCCCAAAAUGUCCCCAAAUGUCCCCAAACGUCCCCAAAUGGCCCCAAAUGUCCCCAAAAUGGCCCAAAAUGUCCCCAAACUGUCCCCAAAUGGCCCCAAAUGGCCCCAAACGGCCCCAAAAUGUCCCAAAAUCCCCCAAAAUGUCCCAAAAUCCCCCAAAAUGUCCCCAAAAUGUCCCCAAAAUGGCCCCAAAUGGCCCCAAAUGUCCCAAAUGUCCCCAUAUUGGCCUCAAAAUGGCCCAAAUGGCCCCAAAUGGCCCCAAAAUGGCCCCAAAAUGGCCCAAAUGGCCCCAAAUGUCCCCAAAAUGUCCCCAAAAUGGCCCCAAUGGCCCCAAAUGUCCCCACUGUCCCCACUGUCCCCACUGCAGUGACCACGACCUGACCCCCUGGGGGCUCCUGGGGCCGCUCUCGCGGCUCCUGCGGCACCACCUGGACACCGGCGAGAUCCCGGAACAGGUGAGGGGACACCUGGGGGACACCUGGGGACAGCUGGGACACCUGAGAUACACCUGGGGACACCUGGGGACAGCUGAGACACACCUGGGGACAGCUGGGACACCUGGGGGGACAUGGGGACACACCUGGGGACACACCUGGGACACCUGGGGGGACAUGGGGACACCUGGGGACACACCUGGGGGGACAUGGGGACACACCUGGGGACACCUGGGGACAGCUGAGACACACCUGGGGACAGCUGGGGACAGCUGGGGGGACAUGGGGACACACCUGGGGACACACCUGGGACACACCUGGGGACACCUGGGGACACAUGGGGACACCUGGGGGGACAUGGGACACACCUGGGGACACCUGGGACACCUGGGGACAGCUGGGACACACCUGAGACACACCUGGGGACACCUGGGGGGACAUGGGGACACACCUGAGAUACAGCUGGGGACACCUGGGGACACCUGGGGACAUCUGGGGACACACCUGGGGACACCUGGGGACACCUGGGGACAUCUGGGGACACACCUGGGGACACCUGGGGACACCUGGGGACACUUCAGGGCCAUUUCCAGAACUUUCAGGCCCAUUUUGGGGCCGUUUUUGCCGUUCUUGGCUGCUUUGGGCUGGUUUGGGCCGUUCUUUGCCCGUUUUGGUCGUUUUUGGACACUUUUGGGGUGGUUUUGGGGUGGUUUUGGGGUGGUUUUGCUGCUUUUGGACACUUUUGGGGUGGUUUUGGACACUUUUGGGGUGGUUUUGCUGCUUUUGGACACUUCUGGGAUGGUUUUGGGGUCAUUCUUGUUGACUUCUGGCCAUUUUUGUUGGUUUUUGUCGGUUUUUGGGGCCGUUUUUAGCCAGAUUUUUGCCAUUUUUGCCCAUUGUUUGGUCGUUUUUUUGCCCAUUUUUUGCCCAUUUUUUACCCGUUUUUUGCUGGUUUUUACCCGUUUUUUUUCCCAUUUUUUGCCAGUUUUUUGCCCGUUUUUUGCCCAUAUUUUGCCAGUUUUUGCCCAUUUUUUGCCAUUUUUUGCCGUUUUUUGCCCCUUUUUUGCCCAUUUUUUGCCAUUUUUUGCCCAUUUCUUGCCGUUUUUUGCUGUUUUUUGCCCGUUUUUUGCCUUUUUUGCCCAUUCUUUGGCCUUUUUUUGCCAGUUUUUGCCCAUUUUUUGCCCAUUUUUUCCCCUUUUCUGGCCGUUUUUUGCCUGUUUUUUGCAGUUUUUUGCCCAUUUUUUGCCCAUUUUUUACCUUUUUUUGCCAGUUUUGGCCCAUUUUUUGCCCUUUUCUGGCCGUUUUUUGCUGUUUUUUGCCGUUUUUGCCGUUUUUUGCCGGUUUUUUCCGGUUUUGUGCCCGUUUUGGGCGCUGUCCCCCCCCGCAGGUGACGGUCCCGGCGCUCUCCUGCCUCUUCUUCCACCUGCUCUGGGAACUCUCCCGGAUUCCCGACUCCGGAGCCGCCCCGGAACGUCGGGAGUUCCUGUCCCGGGCGCGCCGGGCGCUCUCCCUGUG
Molecule: long non-coding RNA, 2084 nt
Organism: Cyanistes caeruleus (blue tit)
Lineage: Eukaryota; Metazoa; Chordata; Aves; Passeriformes; Paridae
Source: Ensembl